GCAACAGCUCAAAUUUGAAAUCUGGCUCCUUCGGGGCCCGAGUUGUAAUUUGGAGAGGAUGUUUCGGGCACGGUCCGGGCUUAAAUUUCUUGGAACAGAAUGUCACGGAGGGUGAGAAUCCCGUCUGGAGCUCGGACACGACCCAUGUGAAACUCCUUCGACGAGUCGAGUUGUUUGGGAAUGCAGCUCUAAAUGGGUGGUAAAUUUCAUCUAAAGCUAAAUAUUGGCCAGAGACCGAUAGCGCACAAGUAGAGUGAUCGAAAGAUGAAAAGCACUUUGAAAAGAGAGUUAAACAGUACGUGAAAUUGUUGAAAGGGAAGCGCUGGCAACCAGACUUGCGCGUCGGGGUUCCCCCUUGCUUCUGCCUGGGUUACUCCCCGGCGUUCAGGCCAACAUCGGUUUCGGGGGUCGGUUAAAGGCCCUGGGAAUGUACCUACCCUCCGGGGUAGACUUAUAGCCCAGGGUGUCAUGCGGCCUCCCGGGACCGAGGAACGCGCUUCGGCUCGGAUGUUGGCGUAAUGGUUGUCAGCGACCCGUCUUGAAACACGGACCAAGGAGUCUAACAUCUAUGCGAGUGUUAGGGUGUCAAACCCUUACGCGGAAUGAAAGUGAACGGAGGUAGGAAGCCUUACGGCUGCACUAUCGACCGAUCCUGAAGUUUACGGAUGGAUUUGAGUAAGAGCAUAGCUGUUGGGACCCGAAAGAUGGUGAAC
RNAcentral lists this ribosomal RNA (713 nucleotides) under Cyphellophora guyanensis. Its description in RNAcentral is "eukaryotic LSU rRNA". It matches the Rfam family "Eukaryotic large subunit ribosomal RNA", at positions 101 to 831 of the family's 3401-position model. The record is from RNAcentral. Lineage: Eukaryota; Fungi; Ascomycota; Eurotiomycetes; Chaetothyriales; Cyphellophoraceae.